GGGAGCGCAUGGGUGCCGGUGUGCCCCGCGGUCUUCAAAACCGAUUGUGACCUCGUUCGGGGUCAGGUGAGUUCGACUCUUACACGCUCCCGCCA
This 95-nucleotide transfer RNA is filed under the name Chthonomonas sp. Its description in RNAcentral is "tRNA-Sec". It matches the Rfam family "Selenocysteine transfer RNA". The record is from RNAcentral. Lineage: Bacteria; Bacillati; Armatimonadota; Chthonomonadia; Chthonomonadales; Chthonomonadaceae.